UAGCAGUAGGUGAACAACUCUUUAUAAGUCAACCUUUUUAUAAUUGACUUUUCAUUAACAUUGAUGAACAUGAAAAUUGUUGCAUUCUGGCUGAUCAAACUAUGACAUCAUUGUACUCGGAGAACCAGAGUUUCUAAUAUUUGGCAAAAACCCAUAUUUUUUGACACUGAAUAAUCUCUUCUUUGAUGACUUGUUAUGAGGAGACAAAUUCAC
This 213-nucleotide long non-coding RNA is filed under the name Lathyrus oleraceus (garden pea). Its description in RNAcentral is "Pisum sativum (pea) long non-coding RNA (PSAT_LNC014291)". Lineage: Eukaryota; Viridiplantae; Streptophyta; Magnoliopsida; Fabales; Fabaceae. The record is from RNAcentral.